This 379-nucleotide unclassified non-coding RNA is filed under the name plant metagenome. RNAcentral describes it as "partial contains 5.8S ribosomal RNA, internal transcribed spacer 2, and large subunit ribosomal RNA". The stretch from base 1 to 106 matches the Rfam family "5.8S ribosomal RNA", at positions 49 to 154 of the family's 154-position model. The record is from RNAcentral.
CGAAAUGCGAUAAGUAAUGUGAAUUGCAGAAUUCAGUGAAUCAUCGAAUCUUUGAACGCACCUUGCGCUCCUUGGUAUUCCUUGGAGCAUGCCUGUUUGAGUAUCAUGAAAUCUUCAAAGUAAAUCUUUUGUUAACUCAAUUGGUUUCUACUUUGGUAUUGGAGGUCUUUGCAGCUUCACACCUGCUCCUCUUUGUUCAUUAGCUGGAUCUCAGUGUUAUGCUUGGUUCCACUCGGCGUGAUAAGUUAUCUAUCGCUGAGGACACUGUAAAAGGUGGCCAAGGUAAAUGCAGAUGAACCGCUUCUAAUAGUCCAUUGACUUGGACAAUACUUUUAUGAUCUGAGCUCAAAUCAGGUAGGACUACCCGCUGAACUUAAGC